GUGGAAUUCUCGGUGUAGCAGUGAAAUGCGUGGAUAUCGAGAGGAAGACCAAUGGCGAAGGCAGCCUGCUGGACAUUUACUGACGCUGAGGUACGAAGGCCAGGGUAGCGAAAGGGAUUAGAUACCCCUGUAGUCCUGGCAGUAAACGGUGCGCGCUUGGUGUAGGAGGACUCGACCCCUUCUGUGCCGGAGCUAACGCGUUAAGCGCGCCGCCUGGGGAGUACGGUCGCAAGACUAAAACUCAAAGAAAUUGACGGGGACCCGCACAAGCGGUGGAGUAUGUGGCUUAAUUCGAUGCAACGCGAAGAACCUUACCAAGGCUUGACAUGUAUUGCUAAGCACGUGAAAGCGUGUGACCCUUCGGGGACCUUACACAGGUGCUGCAUGGCCGUCGUCAGCUCGUGUCGUGAGAUGUUUGGUUAAGUCCAGCAACGAGCGCAACCCCUGUGAAUAGUUGCCAGCACGUAAUGGUGGGGACUCUAUUCAGACUGCCCAGGUCAACUGGGAGGAAGGUGGGGAUGACGUCAGGUCAGUAUGGCCCUUACGCCUUGGGCUGCACACGUACUACAAUGCCCAGUACAAUGAGAACCGAGACCGCGAGGUGGAGGAAAUCUGCAAAACUGGGCCCAGUUCGGAUUGGAGGCUGCAACUCGCCUCCAUGAAGUUGGAAUCGCUAGUAAUGGCACAUCAGCUACGGUGCCGUGAAUACGUUCCCGGGUCUUGUACACACC
This 731-nucleotide ribosomal RNA is filed under the name uncultured bacterium. RNAcentral's name for it is "bacterial SSU rRNA". It matches the Rfam family "Bacterial small subunit ribosomal RNA", at positions 661 to 1391 of the family's 1533-position model. The record is from RNAcentral.